RNAcentral lists this transfer RNA (73 nucleotides) under Streptococcus infantarius subsp. infantarius. RNAcentral describes it as "tRNA-Lys". It matches the Rfam family "tRNA". From Rfam's summary of the family: Transfer RNA (tRNA) molecules are approximately 80 nucleotides in length. Their secondary structure includes four short double-helical elements and three loops (D, anti-codon, and T loops). Lineage: Bacteria; Bacillati; Bacillota; Bacilli; Lactobacillales; Streptococcaceae. The record is from RNAcentral.
UGGAAUAUAGCACAAAUAGAUAGUGCACUAGAUUUUUACUCUAGAGAUGUGGGUGCAGCUCCCGCUAUUCCUC